UGCGGUUUGGGGUUUUUCCUCUUUUUUGUUUUUCCUUUGGUUUCGCCGGAAAAUCCUUGUGUCGCGAUCGCGUCCGUUGCCUUGGCUAUAGCUAUAGAUAUAGCAAUCCAACCGAUAUGCAAAUAUUUUGAGCUAAAAUAUAUGUGAGCUAAAUAAAUACGCAAAUACAGAUAGUAUGUAUGUAUGUGUGUAAGUAAUCAGUGCGAACGUGAGAAUUGCUCUGGCGUUGCAAGUUCGCAGUGCAGUUGUAAUUGUAACAUCGAUGUGGAGUGUCAAUUAUGUGGAAAUAUAUUUACAAAGAUACACCCUGUGCGUGUGUGUGAGUGUGCGAGUUCCUCCUGGCACUGAAUGUCACUAAAAAAGAGUGAGAGAGAGGAAGCGAGAGUGUGGGAGUGGGCCAGCCCUCUUUCCAGUGCGUGUAGAUCAGUUACCGCCAGCACCAACAAAAACAACAGCAACAACAAACAAACAAACAAACAAGCGACAAUUCACAUUCAUUUCCAUUCAUUGCUGCGAUUAUCGCCAGUUUUGCUUUGCUCUUCCACCACGCACGAAUACAAAUCGGUGGGCGAAGGAGAGUGAGAGUUGAGAGUGGAAAGCAGAAAGCAGAGAGUGUCGCGUGUGAACCGUAAGAAAAUGCGAAAGGGGAGCGACGGAGAGUGGAGCGAAUGAAGUGGAAGCAGCAGCAAUCAAAAAGUUCGCUCUGGGCACGCCCCCUUAUGACGCCCCCUGUGACGCGUUAUCAGCGGACAUCAAACAAACACAACAAACACAAGGACCUAACCAAAAUCCACACAAAAUGGCGAUAAACUCGAGUACCAGAGAGUCGCCGCGGGUAUAAAAAAGUUCACUUCAUAAAAAAAAGUGAAGCAAACAAACUCGUUUCUGCCCCACAACAACAACAAUACCCCCAAUACCCCCCUGAACUUCAAGAGAUCCCGCAGAACCCACAAUAAUAUCAGCGUUAAGCAUCCGAAAGUUUGGGUGGCCCAGUCCACAGAAAACCCCGCACCAAACCCGAAAUAAUCGCCUAAGAUGUGUUCCCGCACAAUUAAGAUCUCGGUGGUGCUGUUUCUCGUCUUGAUACCAAUCUUCGCCGCCUUGCCACACAACCACAAUCUGUCGAAGCGCAGCAAUUUCUUCGAUCUGGAGUGCAAGGGCAUCUUCAACAAGACCAUGUUCUUCCGACUGGACCGCAUCUGCGAGGACUGCUAUCAGUUGUUCCGCGAGACGAGUAUACACCGAUUAUGCAAGAAAGACUGCUUUGAUUCAAAAUGGUUUGGCGAAUGCCUGAAAGUGCUGUUAAUACCCGAAGAGGAAAUAUCGAACUUACAGCACUUUCUGAGAGUAGUGAAUGGCUCGCCCAUAUCCUUCAACAUGGGGCCGCAAACAUAACUCUAAGUCCCCCCACCCCCCUUACACACACACACACACACACACAACUACACACAGUCACACACAGUUGAAAUUCGCUGCGAAUGACGUGGAAUGGAGAAUGGGAAUCCAACUACAACCACAAAUGCAGAGCCAGAACAAAGAAAUCUAAAAUAUUAAAACGCCCAAAUUUAAUUCGUACUUAUUUAUUACUGUAUGCCUUACAGUUUUUACUAUAUAUGUGUUUUUUUAAAAACGAAUUAUUUUUAUUAAUUUAUUGAGAACGUUAUGCGUUUGUUGUAAGUAACAUAAUCGGGCGAGUGAGAGAUUAGCGAUGAUGAUCAUGAUGAUGAGGAUUUCGCAUAUCUCGUAACUCACCCAUAUAGAAGCCGAAGUAUUUAUUUUUAAGUAUUCUUAGCUUGUUUUAUUAUUAUUGCGUUAUGCGUUGUGUAUAUAAAAUAAACAAAACGAGAUCCAUUGUUUUUAAUUCAUGUAAUGUAAAAUGAUUAUUUUUAUUUUUGUAUUCUAUUGUAAAAUCAGCAUUUAAAAUUAACGUUUUACGCGAUUUCCCGCAAGGGCGAAAAUAUAAAGCUACUCCAUUGUAAACACACACACCGCACACGAGACCGAAAGUAUUUUGCAAAUGUAUUACACUUACAAUUUUGUGCUAUUUUGUAAAGAUAAAACCCCUAAUUAGCGUAAAUCUGUUGGCGAAAGGAGGAUAUAUAUACCUAUCUAAAGCUAAACCUAACAUUUACCCGCAUACUACGACUACAGUAAACCCAUAAUAAAUGUUAAAACAAAAAAAAAACGCAAGAACGCAAUUUGUGCAAGACACAAACAAAAACCCCCGGUAAAAACACGCGAAAAAGGACUGCAUUACAAAUGUGGCAAUAACGAUUAUAAAACCCCAUGUAAAAUAAUAAAAGAUAAUCAUUCGCUGGCUAUUUGAGAGCAUCAAAAUUGUGAUAAAUGAGAAUUAGAAUGCGAAUGCGAGACGCAGAACGGCCAGAGACCCAGACACCCCAGAAAGAGAUCGCUAUAGGGGCUGCGAAAGAGACAAACAGUCGCCAGAGAAAGAGACCGCCAUAGAGGAUGUGAAAGAGACAGCCAGCAGCCGGCGACUUGGGCGCGUUUUCGGCGCGACUAAAAGCGCCUGCUUACCGUUUUUGUUUUGGCAAGAAUGCUUUGGAUCGCCCUUCUUCAACGCCUGCAUAGAGGCUCUUCAGCUGCACGAGGAGAUGGACAAGUACAACGAAUGGCGCGACACCCUGGGACGCAAGUAAACU
RNA transcript from Drosophila rhopaloa, 2663 nucleotides. It is a transcript of the gene named ion transport peptide, with no coding region annotated. The transcript has 4 exons. The record is from RefSeq and is a predicted model, not a curated record. NCBI's taxonomy places the organism in Eukaryota, Metazoa, Arthropoda, Insecta, Diptera, Drosophilidae.